AUUGAACGCUGGCGGCAUGCUUUACACAUGCAAGUCGAACGGCAGCGCGGGCUUCGGCCUGGCGGCGAGUGGCGAACGGGUGAGUAAUACAUCGGAACGUGCCCAGUAGUGGGGGAUAGCUCGGCGAAAGCCGGAUUAAUACCGCAUACGACCUGAGGGUGAAAGCGGGGGAUCUUCGGACCUCGCGCUAUUGGAGCGGCCGAUGGCAGAUUAGCUAGUUGGUGGGGUAAAGGCCUACCAAGGCGACGAUCUGUAGCUGGUCUGAGAGGACGACCAGCCACAGUGGGACGGAGCCAGGCCCAGGACUCCUAGGGGGGGAGGAGGGGGGAAAUUUUGGACAAGGGGCGAAGGCCGGACCCAGAAAGGCGGGGGGUGUGAAGAGGGCCUGGGGUUUGAAAGGCACUUCGGGCGGGAACGAAAAGGACUGUGCAAAUACCAGGGUUGGAGGACGGUCCCCGAAAAAUAAGCCCCGGCAAACUGGGUC
This 484-nucleotide ribosomal RNA is filed under the name uncultured bacterium. RNAcentral describes it as "partial 16S ribosomal RNA". It matches the Rfam family "Bacterial small subunit ribosomal RNA", at positions 29 to 507 of the family's 1533-position model. The record is from RNAcentral.